AUACGGAGGGUGCAAGCGUUAUCCGGAAUCACUGGGUUUAAAGGGUGCGUAGGCGGCGUUGUAAGUCAGAGGUGAAAGCCCACAGCUUAACUGUGGAAUUGCCUUUGAUACUGCAGUGCUUGAAUCAGGUUGAGGUCGGCGGAAUGUGACAUGUAGCGGUGAAAUGCAUAGAUAUGUCAUAGAACACCAAUUGCGAAGGCAGCUGGCUAGACCUGUAUUGACGCUGAGGCACGAAAGCGUGGGGAGCGAACAGGAUUAGAUACCCUGGUAGUCCACGCCCUAAACGAUGCUAACUCGAUGUGUGGUCUGUAAGAUUGCGCGUCCUAGGGAAACCGUUAAGUUAGCCACCUGGGGAGUACGUCGGCAACGAUGAA
RNAcentral lists this ribosomal RNA (374 nucleotides) under uncultured bacterium. Its description in RNAcentral is "bacterial SSU rRNA". It matches the Rfam family "Bacterial small subunit ribosomal RNA", at positions 523 to 898 of the family's 1533-position model. The record is from RNAcentral.